Long non-coding RNA from Ictalurus punctatus (channel catfish), 525 nucleotides. RefSeq lists it as uncharacterized. The transcript is spliced from 4 exons. The record is from RefSeq and is a predicted model, not a curated record. NCBI's taxonomy places the organism in Eukaryota, Metazoa, Chordata, Actinopteri, Siluriformes, Ictaluridae.
UUCGUCCUGAUGGCCUGCACUCCAGCAGCCUCGGAGCGGAACUGCUGUCUGACAACAUCUCCAAGACGCUACACUCCAAGUGACUGUCUACCUUGUUGGCAGCUCAGCGGGCGAGACGUGCGGCUCUGAUCGCUCGGAUCAAUAGUCUAAGGCUGGAAGUUCAGUAGGGUGUUGGCGAGACGUAACCAUCUGAUCAAUAGGAUCAAUAUGUUAUUCCAGCAGCUGUGUUCCUGUAGGUGUUGGCAGCUCAGGCGCAGAGACGAGCGACUCUGAUUGCAAUCAUCCGUGAUCUAAGGCAGCAACUUCAGCGCAUAGGGUUCAUUACGCACCGGUUUCACUGACUGCAUUUAACGUGCAGCCGAGAUGGAGGACAUGGUGACGGAAGGUGAGCUGCAUGAUGGCAGGCUGAUCGCCGAUCAGAAGGUACUACACUGAAAUACUCCACCCCGGUCAGAGUAACUCUUCUGCACUGGAGCUUUGAAGAUAGAAGUUGUUUUAGUUUGAGAUGGCGUCGUAACCCUCAGG